This 1501-nucleotide ribosomal RNA is filed under the name metagenome. RNAcentral's name for it is "bacterial LSU rRNA". It matches the Rfam family "Bacterial large subunit ribosomal RNA", at positions 1450 to 2925 of the family's 2925-position model. The record is from RNAcentral.
UUGGUGAGCGUGUUAACAGGGGUGACACAAAGUGGUAGCUGCUGCACACCGGUGGUUGUGUGUGUCUAAGCGUGUGGCCUGUUCCUAGGUAAACCCGGGAACGUGAUAGGUGAGGCGUGAUGGGAAUCCCUUUUGUGGGGUUUAGUGGUGAGCCUGUUUUGUCAAGAAAAGCCUCGACGUGAGGGUCAAAGCCGCCCGUACCUAAACCGACACAGGUAGUUAGGUAGAGCAUACUAAGGCGUACGAGUGAAUCGUGGUUAAGGAACUCGGCAAAAUACCCCCGUAACUUCGGAAGAAGGGGGACCCCUGAGAGUGAUCCAUCCAUGCGGUGGUGAGCGUUUGGGGGUCGCAGAGGAUAGAGAGAAGCGACUGUUUACUAAAAACACAGGUGCGUGCUAAGCCGUAAGGCGCUGUAUACGCACUGACGCCUGCCCGGUGCUGGAAGGUUAAGAGGAAAGGUCAACACGCUCUUGAGUGUGUGAAGCUUUGAAUUGAAGCCCCAGUAAACGGCGGUGGUAACUAUAACCAUCCUAAGGUAGCGAAAUUCCUUGUCGGGUAAGUUCCGACCUGCACGAAUGGCGUAACGACUUCUCUACUGUCUCAACCACGAGCUCGGUGAAAUUGCACUACGAGUAAAGAUGCUCGUUACGCGCAGCAGGACGGAAAGACCCCGGGACCUUUACUAUAGCUUGGUAUUGGUGUUCGUUAGUGUUUGUGUAGGAUAGGUGGGAGACUGUGAUACUGGCACGCUAGUGUUGGUGGAGUCAUUGGUGAAAUACCACUCUGAUAUUAAUGUGCAUCUAACCUUGAAUCCUUAUCGGGUUUGGGGACAGUGCCUGGUGGGUAGUUUAACUGGGGCGGUUGCCUCCUAAAUGGUAACGGAGGCGCUCAAAGGUUCCCUCAGCCUGGUUGGUAACCAGGUGUUGAGUGUAAGUGUAAAAGGGAGCUUGACUGUGAGACUGACAAGUCGAGCAGGGACGAAAGUCGGAACUAGUGAUCCGGCCACGGCUUGUGGAAGCGUGGUCGCUUAACGGAUAAAAGGUACCCCGGGGAUAACAGGCUGAUCCUGCCCAAGAGUCCAUAUCGACGGCAUGGUUUGGCACCUCGAUGUCGGCUCGUCGCAUCCUGGGGGUGGAGUCGCUCCCAAGGGUUGGGCUGUUCGCCCAUUAAAGCGGUACGCGAGCUGGGUUUAGAACGUCGUGAGACAGUUCGGUCCCUAUCCGCUGCGCGCGCAGGAAACUUGAAGAGAUCUGUCCCUAGUACGAGAGGACCGGGAUGGACGAACCUCUGGUAUACCAGUUGUCCCGCCAGGGGCACCGCUGGUUGGCUACGUUCGGGUUGGAUAACCGCUGAAAGCAUCUAAGCGGGAAGCCAUCUCUGAGAUUAGGUUUCCAACACCCAUUUGGGUGUGAAGGCCCCCUAGAGACUAUGGGGUAGAUAGGCCAGGAGUGGAAGCAUCGUAAGGUGUUGUAAAGCUAACUGGUACUAAUCGGCCGACACC